AUGUGGUCUCCACAAGUGGGGAAACACCCCAAAGGACCCCCAACCGCACAUCACAAUGGUAGCUCAGCCGCCACUCAAGUUCGACAAAGAACAACCAGCACACCUUUGCAAGCACCCCGCACCUCCACCAGUUUGAAGUUGCAACCCUCUAAACGCCCAGAUUUUGCGACCACCGGUAGCAGCUCCGCCAGGCUAUGCACUCUCUACGUUCAACCCACCAUCCAUAUCCGUUUUUUUAGUUUGUUUUACAAGAAUAAGAUCCCGCGAGUGACUCACGACAACCAACACACAUGGCCAGCCUCCGACAACAUCAACCAACACGAGACCAAUCGCGCUACCGCCGUAGCCGCGAACUCCGACGACUUCCAGGUCUGCACAAUUAUCAAGUAA
Molecule: non-coding RNA, 390 nt
Organism: Vicia faba (fava bean)
Lineage: Eukaryota; Viridiplantae; Streptophyta; Magnoliopsida; Fabales; Fabaceae
Source: the annotation of a GenBank genome assembly